RNAcentral lists this long non-coding RNA (756 nucleotides) under Marmota monax (woodchuck). Lineage: Eukaryota; Metazoa; Chordata; Mammalia; Rodentia; Sciuridae. The record is from RNAcentral.
GAAUUCCUUAGCGUUUUCUAUUUUUCAUUUGAUAUCAGUGAAUUUCUUUGAACUCCUCUGUGUUGAUUGUGAAGCUUUAAUUCUCAUAGGAUUCUCUUCCCAGGUCUCUAUUUUUCUCAAGAUUUGGGAUCUUGGAAAAACAUAACAUUUCUGAGAAGUGUUGGGAAGGAAUUAUAGAAAUACCAAUUCAGGAGAUCAAAUUAAACCCAUUUGUUGAAUGAUCACGAUGCCACUGAAUCAUUUUCAUGGAUCCCAGUAUUGCCCAUGGGUCAUUUUCAUUAAUUUAGUUUUGGGAAAUUUUAAGCAUGGAGCCUAUACACUUUGAUGUUAAAUUUAGUGAUUUUUCAGAGAGACAGAUCACCAGGGUCAGAACAGAGAUCAUGUGACCUUAUAUCUCACAUCAUUUCACAGUGGCACACGUAGCUAGUUGUCUCCCAGCCUCAGUUCUUCUUCCCCUUAUUGAAGACAACAAUACUGAGGAAGAUGACGACACAGUCUCCCUUGGAGAUAGGAAUGGCCAACAGAAGUGAAAUGCAGCUUCUGGGAAAUGUCCUAAAUAGAGGGGGAGCACUGCCUUUUCUUCUUCCAUCUGGCAAGAUUGUAGAUGCAAUGGUUGGAGCUAUAUAGGUGUCAUUGGACCACAAAGUGACCUGGGCAAUGGAAACUGCACUUGGGGCAUCGAUAAGAUGGGAGGAUCCUGUGUUCCUGAUAAUAUGGGGGUACUACAGUGGCCCUAUACUGCCUAGAAAUUAAUUC